AGAGGCUUAGGAUAAUACAAAAGACCAAGGACCUUCAAAGCCCUAAGUGGGAGUGAGAAUCUCCCAGCCUCUG
This 73-nucleotide transfer RNA is filed under the name Skiffia multipunctata (splotched skiffia). RNAcentral's name for it is "tRNA-Trp". It matches the Rfam family "tRNA". Rfam says of the family: Transfer RNA (tRNA) molecules are approximately 80 nucleotides in length. Their secondary structure includes four short double-helical elements and three loops (D, anti-codon, and T loops). Lineage: Eukaryota; Metazoa; Chordata; Actinopteri; Cyprinodontiformes; Goodeidae. The record is from RNAcentral.